This 311-nucleotide RNase P RNA is filed under the name Candidatus Rokuibacteriota bacterium. Its description in RNAcentral is "RNase P RNA component class A". It matches the Rfam family "Bacterial RNase P class A". From Rfam's summary of the family: Ribonuclease P (RNase P) is a ubiquitous endoribonuclease, found in archaea, bacteria and eukarya as well as chloroplasts and mitochondria. Its best characterised activity is the generation of mature 5'-ends of tRNAs by cleaving the 5'-leader elements of precursor-tRNAs. Lineage: Bacteria; Candidatus Rokuibacteriota. The record is from RNAcentral.
AGAGGCAGCCGGAUGGUCGCCGGCCCGCGCGAGCGGGCGGGAGGAAAGUCCGGGCUCCACAGGGCAGGGUGCUGGGUAACGCCCAGGGGGGGCGACCCCACGGACAGUGCCACAGAGAGCAGACCGCCUCGGGCCCUUCGGGGCUCGAGGUAAGGGUGAAACGGUGAGGUAAGAGCUCACCAGCAGCCCGGGUGACCGGGCUGUCAGGCCGCUGGAGGGGUCGGGUAACCGGCCUCCUAGAGGAAUGACCAUCGCCCCGGGCCGGGACACCGCCCGGGGAACAGAACCCGGCUUACAGGCUGCCUCUGGUG